GACGAACGCUGGCGGCGUGCUUAACACAUGCAAGUCGAACGCUGAAGCUCAGCUUGCUGGGUGGAUGAGUGGCGAACGGGUGAGUAACACGUGAGUAACCUGCCCUCUUCUUUGGGAUAACGCCCGGAAACGGGUGCUAAUACUGGAUAUUCACUGAUUCUCGCAUGGGGGUUGGUGGAAAGGUUUUUUCUGGUGGGGGAUGGGCUCGCGGCCUAUCAGCUUGUUGGUGGGGUGAUGGCCUACCAAGGCUUUGACGGGUAGCCGGCCUGAGAGGGUGACCGGUCACAUUGGGACUGAGAUACGGCCCAGACUCCUACGGGAGGCGGCAGUGGGGAAUAGUGCACAAUGGGCGAAAGCCUGAUGCAGCGACGCCGCGUGAGGGAUGGAGGCCUUCGGGUUGUAAACCUCUUUCGCUCAUGGUCAAGCCGCAGCUUUGGGUUGUGGUGAGGGUAGUGGGUAAAGAAGCGCCGGCUAACUACGUG
RNAcentral lists this ribosomal RNA (482 nucleotides) under uncultured bacterium. Its description in RNAcentral is "partial 16S ribosomal RNA". It matches the Rfam family "Bacterial small subunit ribosomal RNA", at positions 28 to 507 of the family's 1533-position model. The record is from RNAcentral.